Molecule: ribosomal RNA, 389 nt
Filed under: uncultured bacterium
Lineage: Bacteria
Description: bacterial SSU rRNA
Rfam family: Bacterial small subunit ribosomal RNA
Source: RNAcentral
AACGAACGCUGGCGGCGCGCCUAAUACAUGCAAGUCGAGCGAGAAGACGUAGCAAUACGUUUGUAAAGCGGCGAACGGGUGAGGAAUACAUGGGUAACCUACCCUCGAGUGGGGAAUAACUAGCCGAAAGGUUAGCUAAUACCGCGUACGCUCCUUGGACUUCGGUUCAGGGAGGAAAGCGAUACCGUGGGUAUCGCGCUCUUGGAUGGGCUCAUGUCCUAUCAGCUUGUUGGGAGGUAACGGCUCACCAAGGCUUCGACGGGUAGCUGGUCUGAGAGGACGAUCAGCCACACUGGCACUGCGACACGGGCCAGACUCCUACGGGAGGCAGCAGUAAGGAAUAUUGCGCAAUGGGCGAAAAGCCUGACGCAGCGACGCCGCGUGGGGGA